RNAcentral lists this long non-coding RNA (21170 nucleotides) under Durio zibethinus. RNAcentral describes it as "long non-coding RNA (DZIB_LNC001268)". Lineage: Eukaryota; Viridiplantae; Streptophyta; Magnoliopsida; Malvales; Malvaceae. The record is from RNAcentral.
ACUGCUGUUGAUUUAGCGAGAACUACUUUCAUGUUAGUGGUGGAGAUAAUGUUCUAGCUGUUUACUUUAUGCUUUUUCAUUUAUCAUGUGCAUGUUACCUUUGGCAUUUUGUGUGAUGAAUUGAAUUUUGAAUCUGAAACUUUGAUAAUCAACUUUGUUAUGCAUUUGGUAUUUUAUAGUAGCUAUGUGUUGCUAUCAAAAUGAAUUGAAUGAUUUUGGCAUGUGUCAGUUCUAUCUGCUUUUCAUCUGUGCAAUCUCAACAUGAAAAAGGGAAAACUGGAAAAGCACACCAAUCCAUCCAUGUUUUGUGUUACUUGAACUUGAGUUAUACAAGGUUGGUUCUUCUCAAGUGCCUAUGAACUGAUGAGUUGAUGAAUGAUGGCAUUCCAUGCACGCAUGUGUAGUGUGAUAACCAGGCUUGACUAGAAUGGGAAUAUCAUCUAUUUUGUAGUACUAUGUAAUCUACUGUACAACCCCCCCCCCCCCCCCCUACUAUAAUAGGAUGGGGUUUGGUUUUUGCUGUUCAGUUUCGUUUUGAAUGUUUUGGUGCUGCAACAUACCCUCUAAUCAGCAUGACUUGUUCUGAUCCAAUUUAAGCACUCACUGCAUUUGAAUGAUCGAAUAGCUCUUUUUCAUCUUUAUGUAAUGUACCCAUCUUUCUGUGAUUUAGGUCAAGUGAUUAGUUCAGAUUUUUCCUUCAUUUUCUUUAACAUCAUCCUCUCCACAUCAAAAUUAUUCUACCAAGGUUUUCAAUGUGAUAGUAAUAAUUCUGGAAGCAAUUAGAAGAUAUUAGUCCUAUUUUUUACUCCCCGUGCUUUAAUAAUGGCCCAAGUCAUUAUAUUUGGUUAGUAAAUUUCAAAUAAAUUUAAACAACUUGAAACCAAAGAUUAAGGAUUAAAUCUUUUACUACUAUUUUUUAGCAUUCGUAAUUUCACAGUUUUUUUUUUUUUUUUAUUGUUUUGAAAUCACUUCUUUGUUUGAAUAUUAGGCUUAAAGAUUUUAAAAUUACACAGUAUAUAAUAACACCCCUUGACGUCCCAACCCUUAAACCAAACUCCAGAUAAGAAAUGAGCAAAGCAACGGAAGCCUCUUCCUUCCGUCGUCUAGUCGGCCUUUUUACAUCUUCUCUUUCUUCAACUACCGAUAACAACAUCACCACCGCCAUAACCUCCUCUAAAUCCAAAUCCGAAACACGCAAGCUGCAAAAACUUGCCAGCAAAUUCAAGCAAUGCUCCGAAUCCAACAAAUUCCGCAACAACUACAAAAAAACCUACGCCUUGACUGUUCACCGCCUCGCGUCGGCAAAACAAUUCUCUUUAAUCGAUGACAUCCUCCAACACCAAAAGAAGUACAAAGAAAUCUCCCAGGAAGGCUUUGUAAUCCGCCUCAUUACGCUCUAAGGUAAAGCAGGCAUGUUCGAAUACGCCCAGAAACUGUUCGAUGAGAUGCCUGAACUAAAAUGUGACCGUACGGUGAAGUCAUUUAAUGCCCUUUUGUCAGCGGUUGUUCAUUCAAAGAUGUUUGAUAAGGCCGGAAAGUUGUUAGAACAGUUACCAGAAAAGGUGGGAAUAGAGCCUGAUUUGAUUUCUUAUAACACAGUUAUUAGGGCCUUCUGUGAGAUGGGUUCUAUGGAUUCAGCGUUUUCAGUGGUUGAUACAUUGGAGAAGAAGGGAUUAGGGCCCGAUAUAGUUACGUUUAACACGCUGCUUGAUGGGUUCUUUUCUAAGGGUCGAAUUACUGAUGGAGAGGAAAUAUGGGGUUUAAUGGAAAGGAAGAAUGUUGUUCCUAAUAUUAGGAGUUAUAAUUCAAAGUUAAGAGGAUUGGUUAGUGAGAAUAUGAUGUUGAAAGCUGUUGAGUUGUGGGAGGAAAUGGAGAGUAAAGGAAUCCAACCUGAUGUUCACAGUUACACUGCUCUGAUUACGGGUUACUGUAAUGAUGGGAAUUUAGAGCAAGUGAAGAAGUGGUAUAGUGAGCUGAAGAAAAGUUUUUUACCUGAUCGGGUUACUUAUCUUACUCUUCUUUCGUUCCUGAGGAAGGAGAAUGAGUUUGAAAUGGCACUUGAGCUUUGCAAGGAGGCUAUGGAUCGACGGCUCAUUGCUGGGGCUGCAUUCAUAGAUGGAUUGGUUAAAGAGUCAAGGAUCGAAGAAGCUAUACAACUCGUGGAAUCAGGCUUGUCGCGAUAUGCUUUGAAGCUGAAAUUCCCUUCGUAGGACUUGAAGAUAUAGUUACUCACAACUCGUAUGCUUGUUCUUUUAUUUUAUUUUAUUUUAUUUUGCUCGUGUUCUAUGCUUGUUCCAGUUUAUCUUAUUUUCAAUCUGGUUUGGGCGUCAUACUUGGCCAGUUUAACCAAUGGUGCUUCGAAAACAUGAUGAAUGAGAUGGAUCUCGGUUUGACCCAUGUGGUUUUGUUUGAAACUUGAAGUUGGAUUGAUGCAAUAAGAAUCAAGGACAUUGACAGAAACAGGACCGCCAUUUAACUGUUCAAAGUAUUCAUAUGGAUUUUCAACUUUGCACUGGUCAAACAACAAUUUUUUGUAGCCCACUGGCUUCAUUUUCGUGGUGGCUUUACUAUUACACUCUCUCUCUCGAUAACUCAAUCCGUAUUCGAUGAGUUUCAAUUUAAUUCGAUUUUGUAAGAUUAAUUUUUUUUUUUAAAUAUAAUUUUGAGUCGAAUCAAAUAAGGUUAAGAAAAAAAAUUAAAAUUAGGUCGAAUUUAAAUUUUAGGUAAAUUUAACCCAAUAUGAUAUUAUAUAAAAAAUUAUUUUUUAAUUAUUUAUUUAUAUAUAUUUAUAUAAUUAUAUAUUUAAAUAUUUAUAUUUAAAAAUUAUAUUUUAUAUUUAAAAUAUAAUAUUUUAUUAAUUUCAAAUCGAAUUAGAUACAAUUUAUACAAUAUUUGAUUGAGUCAAAUACGAAAAAUAAAAAAAACUUUUGAAUUGGGUUCAAAUUUGAAACAUAUAAAAAUUAAAUCGGGUCAAGACAAAUAAAAAUUUAUUUCGAUCCGAUUCGUCAACUCUACUCUCUACUAUAGCUAGCAUUGUGCUGCCGUUGUGCUGCGAUUACAUUUUUCUUGUUUAAACAGUAAAAACAAAUAUAACAACACAGUCAAAAAGAUCAAAUAUAUAAUUAGUUACAGGAAAAACAGAAGAUAACAAAUCUGUGCAAAGUUUGCAAAAAAAAAAAAAAAAAAGAUUUACUUGAUUCCCAUAAACAAAAUGCUAGAGCUAGUGAUAUCUCUAUGUUUUAGCACAUAAAAUGUUCAAACUAUAGUACAGAAACUCACGUAAACAAAAAGUUAGAGAUAUCCCUAAUUGUGUUCUAGCAUAUAAAAGAUGUAAACUCCUGUUUAUUUUUCACCAAUUAGCAUUAGACCAACAUGAUUUUAAAUUAAACAUGUAAAAUAAUCAUGAAAAAAUUGAAAACAAAAUCUAAUUAAAAGUUUCAAACUACAAACAUAAUUAUCUAAAAAUGAGUACAUAUUCGCUACUUUAGUAAAAACCAAGCAUGGAAUAUAAUAAUUCUUAUCCUACCAUUUCAUCGCUUUGCCUGUCAAACACAACUAAAUUGCAUUUAAAAGUACUGCAAAUAAAAGCACUAAAUUGGCAGGAAUAAAGUUAUAUGGAAAUAUUGUACUACUCAUGUAUCAGAACACAUUGUCAAACAAUAGGAAAAAAGAUGUAAGAAACCUACUCUUGGAGUUUGCAGAAAUCUCAUCAGCCAAAAAAAAGAAUAUUUUUAUAGUAACGCAGGUCUGCCUAUUGUGAGUAAAGCUGUAGAGAAUCACAAAAUUAAGAUCUUGGAGAAUCACUCAAAAUAGAGUCUACAAAGAUUUUUCAACAGUAUAUCAAAGCCAAAUAAGUCGACGCAACCUAAUAAUUAGCUUGUCUUUUUUUUUUUUUUUGUACUUAGUAAAAUCAUGCUAAGCAAUACACCUUUUGAUGUUUGCAGCCUCAUGCCAUUCAACUGUUUUACCUCAAUAUCAUUAUUAUAUCAGAAAUGGUAACACCCUCCUUCUAUUUUUCCCUUUUAAACAUAUUCAAACCAUUUUAUUUUCUCUUUCUUUGAGCUACAAAAGAGUUGGUUAAGAUUAACAGACAUAAUAAUAAUAAUAAUAAUAAUAAUAAUAAUAAUAAGCGAAUGAUAGAAAAAAUUUUCAUUUUACAUGUCAUUUAAAAAAAAAGAUAAGAAAAACAACACUCAAAAUGAAUUUAACUAUAGAUCAUGAUUAUGAAUAUAUGUGUGUGUGUGUGAGAGAGAAAACAUCGUUUUGCAGAAUCAAUUUGUUAUGACCCAUAUCCCAUAUAAAAUUCAAAACAUUUUAAUUAAUAAAUGCAACUAUGAAGUACUAAAAUAUAAAACCGAGUGCAACAAUAGCCUUAUUAACACCUUUUAUUCAAAAUGUAUCAUAGUAAAGUCAAAUGCAAUCAAUUGACUUUGUUUAAAUCUUAUAAGGUGUAUUAUUCAAAAUAAUAGAAUUUUCAAAAGUUUCUAAACACAAGCAUAGUUUUCUACAUCAUGGCAUAUAUAUUAUGCAUAGUAGUUAUAGUCUCAUGAUUUAAUAUUUAGCCAUCCAUGAGAUUAGCAAAAUCAUGUUGAUGACAAUAAUGACUACAUAUAUAUAUAUAUAUAUAUAUAUAAAAACAAUACAAUAAAAUCUAAGUUGAACGAAUUAAAAUUGUAAUAGGAUUAUUAAUCUUCUUGACAACAAAAGUUCAGUUUUAAAAUUAAUUUUAUAGAUUUAAUUAAUUAUAAAUUUGAAGGCACAAAAUAAGCCAUCUUUAUAAAAUAUAUAGGACUAUCUAAGGCUGAUAUAUAAAUUCUCAAAUCGACUUUGAAUAUUCAAAAAAAUUGAUAUCUUAUACAUUUUACAAAUCAUUUUGUGCAAAUAUUAAAUUCCCCGCAGAUAGCAAGAUUAAGAAAUUACAUUGCAAGUAAGAUUUCAAUAACCUAGAUAUAUUUUAUCUCAAUAUUUAAACUGUCCCUAUUUUGUUUUACGACUUUAUUAGAAUAAUUCACAAUAUACAAAACUAAACUUGAUAAAUCAACCAAAAUGAACUAAUAUAAGACAACCAAACUUUAACCAAUAAGCAUUCUAUGGAAUGAAUUUAACUGAUAAAACAAAGCAUUAGCUAUCAAUACCAUAAAAAGGUAUUGUUCAAGCCUUGUCACUUGCUCUGCUGGGGCACUGUUGCAUUUCAAUAAGAGGCUUUAGUAGUGGAGAAGCGUGACUAUGGAAGCUUUUGGGGUAUGCUAAAGGUGUUGAAUCAAGAGCACAUGCAAUAAAUGAUAGUAGAGCAAUUUUGGUGUCAAAAAUUGAAUUGGUCUUGUCUUAUCAAGUAGGAAUUUUUCAAUAAACAAAUAAAAAUAAUAUAAAAGCCAGGAAAAAAAAAAACUGAUUUGAGAUAUCUCAAACCUAGAUAGCAUUAAGAUCUUUUGACAUAAAUAUAAAGUUUGAAUUUUAUCAAAACAGAAUUGAAUAUACAUAGAUAGCAUCAAGAUCUUUAGGCAACAACUCAAUAAGUUCAAUCAGAUCCAUUAUGUCCAUAAAUGAAAAUUCAAUUCUGUCUCGAUACAGUUCAAACUGAAUGCAUUAAAAUUUAUAUAUAUCAACACUUUCUUGGGGCCUUUUCUAUCAUAAAGAAUAUAAUACAGAGUAAAAGUGAAGCGAUAAGCAAUAUAAUGAGUUAAAUUUUUUAAAAUAUUUUGCACUUGAAUUGCUCAAAACCAUCACUUAAAAUAAAGUGACCUAUUAGCUAUUCAAAUUGCAAUCUAAUGUAUCUAAUGCUAGCUCACUCCAACCACUCACAUUAGAUGCAAAAGCUGUAAGCGUACAUAUUUAUAACAAGCUGAAAAGUAGAAGCACCUAAAGAUAAAUCCAUUUUUACUUUUUUUGUAAUAAUGGAAUUAGGUAAGGAUGGUCCAUAAAUGUGUGCAAAUAAUGCAAUUGUCUUGUCUUUAUACUCAUACAAAUGGUGGCAUUGUCUACUUUUUGUACCUAUCGUUCCCACGCUUCGUCGCAACUCAAUGAUUAUGAAUGGCUACAUAAUUAACGCAAUGAAAUAUAAUACAAGAAUGGAAUAAACACUAAGCAUAAUGAUGUCUCAUUAUUUUACUACAAAUAAUCAAAAUGAUAUAACUUUGAAGUCAAUUUAUAAGUAUUGAGAUAUGUGCAGUGUUUUUUUAAGGUCAAUGCUGGAUUGGACCAUGAGUUACCAUGAAUGCCUUCUAUGCAAUGUUUUCUUUUUUUUUAAUGGAAGACAGGUUGACAAUAUUUAAUACUCUGUUCUAUCCAAUUUAAGCCUUAUUGGAACAUGAUCAAUUUCUUUGAAUUAAUCUAUCUCUAGCUACUCUAAACACUUUAACAAUCUCAUUACUCUAAUCAAGCAUUUUGAUUUAUCCAUCAACUAUUAUCCUACCAAUCCUACUAUGAUCAUUGUUGUCAUUGAAAAAAACCAUCCUAUUUGAACAUUAAUUUUCAAUCUCAUAAAUGUAUAUUGAACAAACAGGGACAUUAGCUAUACAUCUAACUUCGUCUCUAAUAACUUUUUACUUAACAACAAUGGAAGCUCAUGGAUUCCUUGAUGGAUUCUACCUUGAAUGUUUCAAUACAAAAUCAAAAUAGCUUUGUAUUUCUUUUUCCUCCACCUCCACCUCCACGUACAACAUCUAAAAAAAUUUGAUCACAAACAUCAUCUAAAGACAGUCUAUCUAAUUAUUCAUCUAUUAAACCCAUUCCAAUACAAAUUAUAGGUGAAUCAAAAGUGGAACUUCUUUGUUAACAGCAAGAAGUCAAAAAUUAAGAGUGUAAGAGCAAAAAAAAAAAAUCUUAUGUCAACAAUUAAGCAUCACUAAAAAUAAUGGCAAAACAAUCAUAACAUCAGGAAUAAAAAUAAUCAAUAGAUUUUAAUAUUGGUCAACAUAGAAUCCAACACAAUAGCAACAUUAACAUAUUUAAAAAUAAUAAACAUAAAUCCAACUCAAUCCCAAUAAUAAUCAAGAAAAAGCUAAAAAUGUUGCAAGUAAAAGAAUACAUUUAUGAAAAGAAAGAUAGAGUAAUAAAUACUCCAAUUUUCUAUUCAAGCUAUUGUUGAUAGCAGUUGUAGUCUUUCUUCUACCAUAUCUUGUUGUAGUAUUCUUUAACUCUUUCAAAAUUGCAAUUGGCCCUUGCCGACAAAUGGAUUCAACUACAACUACGUAAUAGAUUGUGUCAUAAUAUAUAGAUCCACAAAUCUAUAGUUAGACUUAAUAAGAAGAGUCACCACCAAUUUUUUUUAACUAGGUGUGAUUGGCCACCUAAUGAAUCUAUCAUUGUAAAAAGCUCUUGAGCUUGACUAAAGAUAUCUAAAAGAAUAGGUUCUGAUGUACUAAUCAAAAUAGGAUUCAGAAGUUCGAUUACGUAUGGAGCAGGUUAUAGCAUCCCCAUAUACCCAUCCAAUGGACGGUAUCAUUUUAUUUUAAAUUAUCUUAAUAUUUUGAUUCUAAUAGUCUUAAAUUUAAUAUUGAAGAUAAUUAUUAAGACUUCUCCAUUAAUUUGAUAGAAUUCUAAAUAAUAUUUUCUCAUUUCGAAAGUAUUUAAGAAUCUCAUUUAUUUUUUUGAAGAGGUUCCGUCGUCAAAAAAAAAAAUUAUUUUUUUUGAUUUUUUAUUGAAAAUAUAUCUAAUUCUUUUACCAUUUGGGCUAAAUUAGAAAUAUUUUCUUACUUAAAAAAUCUUCGAUAAUCAUCCAUUUGUGAUACCAAAAAUUUUAUCUUCAAAAUUUAUUUUUUUAUUUCACAAGUUUUAUUUCGAAAUCUUCCACCAUUUAGGUCAAUUUAGAAUUUUUUGCAAGUAUUGUUUUUAAAUUUUUCAUCAUUUUGGUCUAUUUAUAAAAAAAACUCUUGUUAGUUUCCUGCUUUUUGGAAAAAAAUAAUAAUUCUUUAAGUUUCAUUUAAAUUCUUUCAUAAUUUGGGACAAAUUUAAAGAAAUUUCUCACUUAGAGAUUUUUUAGAAAAUUUACCAUUUGAAAUUUCUAAGAAUAUCAUCAUUGGAUAAUUAGUAUUUAAUUCCAAAAUUUUAUUAAAUUUGUGUUUUUUUAUUUUUAAAAAUAAAUAUUAAUUAUUAUUAUUGAAACUUUAUCUAAAUUCUCCUCCAUUUGGGAUAAAGUUAGAAAACUUUCUCACCUAAGAAUUUUAUAGAAAUUAACCUUUUGUAAUUUCUAAAAAUUUCAUCAUUAGAUAAUUAUUAUUUAUUCUUAAAAAAAUUAUUUAUAUUUUAUUUUGUUCUCUUUUUUUAAUUUUUUUCUCUAAUUUUUUCUAAAAUUUAAUCAUGCAAAAAAUAUAUAUCUUAAAAAAACAUAAAACAAAAAUAAAUAAAAACCAUAAAAAAAAAAAACAAAAAGGACUGGCUCGACUCAGCUAUGGCACUGGCUCGACUCCAGACACAAGAUAAUUCUAGACACAAGAUAACUCCAAAGGCGUGGCUUAGUUGACUGACGGCUUGGCUCAGCUUGGGUUUCAAUUGCUAGAAGCGGGUUGUGGGUCAAGGCACUAUGAAUCGGGUCGAGUAAGUAAAAAAUGUGUGGAUCUUAAGCCUACUUAACCUCCAAAACGUUGCCGUUUAAGCCUGAAUAUAAAAACCAAAAUUUUUUUUUCUACCUUAUUUUUCCUCUUUGGCUUUCUCACUCUAGUUGAUUCCUCCUCUGACCUCUCUCUAGAAUUUGUUGAAUGCCAAUCGAAAACUUAACCACUCUAAAAAAUGACAACGAAAAUUUCAAGCUUCGCCGUGAACUUGAUUAGAAUAUUCAACCUCACCGAAAAAUUGAUUAGAAACUUCAAACUAACCUAUAAAAUCCCAAAUUUUCCCAAAAAAAAAAAAAUUUGUUCCCCUUUUCCAUUUUCCCCAAAUCCAUAUGUUCUUUAAUUCCUAAUCUAAAUAACUACUUUUCUGAAAAAAAAAUAAUAAAAAAUUUAAAUCUACCACUUUUUCUCAUGAUUUUUUCCUCCUAACUUUUUUAUUUUAUUUUUACUAUUUCUUGAUUGUUUCUACCUAUUGCUUGCUUUGAGUUUGUAUUUAUAAAGAUCUGAUUAUAAGAAUCCUAAACCAAAAGGAUUUUAAUUGCACUUCAAUUCCUACUCCAACUCUGAUUUUAACCCAAAUUUCAUAUUCAAAUAAAAAAUCCCAGAUAAACUCAACUGUUUCAAACUCUCUUAAUUUUUUUUAUUUUUUUUAAUAUUUAACAACAACAAAUCAAGCAAUUACAACACCAAAUAAAUUGGAGUGCCUAUAGGUUGCAGCAUCAAAUUUAUUUAACACAAUCAGUACAUGAAACACCAAUUAAAAAAUUAGAAGUCAUGAGUAAGCAAUCAUAUCUUGAUUCAUUUCCAAGUGAAGCAAUAUUAACAUAUAUAUUUAAUAUUAAGAGUAGUUGCUUAUCUACAUCAAUUACAGUAAUAAUUUAAGAUCAUUUCUUUAACUCAAUAUUACUGUUCUAAAAAUUUGGAUUUUAUACUUUUGGAAUCGUCAAUAGAAAAUUUAUAAAAUUCAUAUAAUUUUAAAUCAAAUUCCUUUACUCACAAAUUGUAACUUAUAUAGGAAACUUGAUCACCGUCUUAAAACUCACAUUUUUUAUUUGCCUGGUAAUCAAACAUUAGACAGUGAAUCCCUUUUUUCUUAUCACCAAGAAUGCCAUACUCUUCGCCAAUGUUCAUGUUAUCUACCACAACAUAAAAGAUAGCAAUAAUACAUGAAAGACAAUAGCAAAAAGCAAUGUUAAUGAUGCAUUCCAUUGCAAUGCAAAAAACCAAAAAAAUAUAAUAAAAUCAAGAAAAAUUACACAAAGCCUAUAAAGAAAAUUGCAUAUUAUAUGGAAAAACCUUCAACACACAAAAAAAUAGAAAAAUAACAUAAGAACUAACCAAUAAAGCUGAAGAGAGCUAUGUGCCAUUACUUAGUCACCUAUAGCCAUUAGAAUCUAUUGAUCCACCAUAUGAAUAAAAACAUUGUAUUUGCAAUUUCUAGGAGCUUUUGUAAUACUACUGGAAACAUCAAUUUCAAAUGAUUAGCCACUAAAUGAUAGUCUACAUUAUCAUAUACAAUUUAAGCUAUAAUAGAUGAGAUUAAAUAUAUCUAAGAUACACCAUAAAACAUACAUAAAUGCCAAUGAUCAUAAUAAGAUUCUUUAACACUUAAUCAACUAAUGUUGAAUGCAUAGGGCUGAUUCUUAUAACCCAUUACAACUUCAAUGUAAAUGAUACAUUUUAUAACUUAACCAAAUAACAUUUACCAAGUAAAUGAAAAUAAACAAUCUACAUCAAAAACCUAAUUGUAAUAUAGACUUUAUAACAAAACAUAAGUUGAUUUGCACUUUCUCUAAUGGAGCAUAUAACUUAUUUAUUAAAAUUUCCAACUAAUGAAAAAAACUUUCCAAAUUCCUCUCCAUAUCCAUACAAUAUAAAAAACCAUAAUCUCAAUUAUCACUGUAGAAGUAAUGAUUUCCAUAUCAACUUACCAAUUAACUAAUAAGAUGCAACAUCUUAAAAGUAAUCCUGAACUAUUAUUAACUUUUAAAAGAUCAUUAAUUAGCCACUGUGAUCAAUUUACCUUUUUUAUUCUUGUUUUCAUUUGUUUCUUUGUGGUACUUCAUGCUUCUAACAAAUUUUCCCUUUUUCUCCAUGUACAAUAUAACAGCUAAUUAGUGAUUUUGUAUUUAAAGGAUACACAAAACAGGUCCUAUGAGGUAUUAAGUCUAACACUUUAAACAUUAAUUAUUCAAAUGUAAUUUACUAAAAGAAUGAUUCUUCUUUCUGAGAUAUCUAUUACAAUGAUGAGUAAGUCAUUCCUAAAUGGUUAUAAUCAUUCCUAAUUUUUGUAAUAGCAAUAAGCAAUGAACAUUAAGAAAGGUGAUUUAGAACUACAAAGCUUAACAAUCAGCUAAGUAAAUGCUACACAAUUUUUUAGAGAUGUAAUGACAACUAUAUAAAAACAAAUUAAUACAAACAAUUUUAGAGAUGUAAUGACAAUUAGUUUUGGGGCUGAAUAACACUUUUUUUUGCCAACUAAAUAACAUUUUCAAUUUCAGUAAAAAGUUACUUGAAAAUAAAUGGUUGUAAUUGAGCCCAUCUAGUUUGGUCCAACCUAUUACUUGAAAAAUGGUUUGACAAUAUCGACCUUAUUUUGUUAGCAUGAUAAAUAGAAUAAAGCCUUUAACCAUGUUGAUCAACAUACAAAUAGAAUUUAAAAGGAGAUAAAGAAGUAAUUGGUUAAAAAAUAUUAAGCAUAAAAUUUGUGUUCAGUUAGCCAAGUGGUUGAGAGAGCUAUUAAACAUACUAUGCCACAUGUAUGCCCUAAAAAGUACCAUUUCAAGCUUUUGAUAUGUCCAGUUGUGAGUUCAAAGGAGUUGAAAGCCAAUCACCAACUCUUGGAUAUCAAUCUUCUGAAGUUUAUCUAAGCAAUGAAGAUUUAGAACAAACCAUUUAUCCAUUUAGCUUUGCAAGAUUCGUUAGGAUUAUAAACAAUCAUAAAGGAAAAAAAAUAUUUCCAAAGCUAUCCAAUAUCGAAGUAUCUUUAAUUAUGUGACAAAAAGAAUUACAGUUGAAUGUUUACAAAUCACAGCAGUAAAGAUCAUCAACAUAAUACAUAAAGAAUUAGAUAAAUUUUCUAAAGUGUAAUUGGAAAAUAACAUAAAUGAUGAAAAGAAAAUUUAAAAAGAAAAAAAAAGAAAAGCAAAAAUGAGGUGGAUGUUCAUUUGAGACCAUGCCAAAUUGAAGUUUAAAAUAUAAAUGUUAUUUUCAAAACCAUUGCUAGAGAUAAGGAAGAAAAACAUAACGAUCCAUUUUUCUUAAUACUCUUGAGUUUGUCUUGCAAUUAAUCAUGGGCUGACACCAUUGUAGCUAACAAAGAAAAUUUUAAACCUAAAUAGAUCUUAAAAUCUAACACUUAAAACAAUAAAAAAAGGUAAAAAAUGCUUGAAAUAGCUUAAAACACUAUGUAUUCUGAAACGGUUAAAAAAUAGAAAAGUAAAACCCUAAAAACAUUUUGCUUAUGUUGAGCCCCUUUACUCUAGAAAACAUUUUGCUUACAGUACAACAAACAGUACAAAGAUAAUAGUAUAAAAAAAACCAUCAAUUUCAAAUGAUAAAUGGAUAUGUUGGCCUUGAAUUGAUUAAAAGUUUUGAUUUGACAAAAUAAAAAUUUGCCAAACUUGUUUCAAUCUUAUCUAAGCUUAAAUUGAACAUUUUUUCACCUUUCUAUCUUUCCAAAAUUCAUUUGAGAAUCAAAACAACUCAAAUUCUCGAAACAAAAUAUAAUUUAUGUAAGUUUUGAUAGAAGAAAUCGAUCCCCUAGCAAAAAGGAUCGAACAUGUUUUCCACCAGAAUAGAAACUUCUCAGGAUUUGGCAAAAAUUGAUCAAUCCCCUCCAUGUAGGGAUCGAUUGGUUAGGGUUUCAAGCUGAACGGAUCGAUCUCCUCAUUCAAGAGAUCGAUCACUUUUUCAUACAAAAGGUUUGUAUUGUGCAAUUUUUCAGAAAACGGAUCGAUCCUAUCACAUAGAGGAUAAUCACCUAAGGUAAGGGAUCGAUCCCCUCUUAAAAGGGAUCAAUCGAUCGCUCAGAUAGAAUGUUCUCCAGUUUGAAAACCCAAAAAAUGGAUCAAUCCCCUCUUAAAGGGAUCGAUUGGCUAAGGUAAAUCAGACACAAAAUCGAGUCUUCUCCAAUAUGAACCAAUCGAUCCCCUAUGAUAAUGGAUCGAUCUCCUGAAGGCUAACAACUCCCAACGAUUUUUUUUUUUUGUUGAAAUUUCUGCAGGUUUGAAGCAUUAAAUGCAUUCCAAUGGCUCUCAAGUUCUUCCUAACUAUAAAUCAAGUAUUUCACUGCAGACCAAGAAAAAUAAAAGUCAAGAAACUUAUUGCUAUUCACCUAUCAAUCUGCUUAAGUAUUCAAAGCUAUAAAAAGAGAAAAAGUAUAGAAUUCAUAUCAGUUUUUCUCUACUUUCUUAUCUAUACCUUUGUGUACUUUAACUUAGCAAACACCUAACAUUUUGUGAGGUUCUUAAAGUUUGCCAAAUACUUCUAAAUUUUUGUAUAGUGAGUGUGUAAGCUUAAGGGAAAUGAUAACCCUUAAGAGUGUAUGUUGUUGAGUUUGUAAAGCUUUGUGAAAGCUUAGUUGUAAUCUUCAUCUAAUAGUGGAUUGAACUUCUUAGCAAGAGAGUCUAAGGGAGAGGAUAUAGGUGCCUAAGAAAGGAUCGAACCUCUAUAAAUCUUGGUGUUGAAUUCUCUAACCCUAUAUCUUGUUUAUAUUCAUCUAUUGUGCUUAUUUAUUUUGAUAAUUUAUGGUUAUUGAAUAUUAUACUUAAAAAUUUUAUUAAAACCAAUUCACCUCCUCUUGGUUUAUUCCAAGUCUUUGAGCUAACAAUUGAUAUUAGAGCUAGUACUCUUUUUUAUAGGUUUAACAGCCCAAGAGUGAUCCUAAAAUGACUCAAAAAAAUAUAGUAAUCAAUAUGAAAGAACCAUCCUUAAGCUAUAACAACUAUACCAGCUAACAAAAGGUGUGUCUCAUGGCAAAUGAAAUAGUUACAACAUUUCUUGGAAGUGAAAGGCAUUCAAUUAUUAGACCUCCUCUCUUUGCUGGUGACAACUACUCCUAUUGAAAGACUAGGAUGAGGUUGUUCAUUCAAGCUAAUAACUAUAAAGUCUAGAGGGUCAUUGUUAAUGGUCCUCAUAUUCCAAUAAAGAUGGUGGAUGGUAAGGAGGUGAUUAAGUUAAAAAAUGAAUGAGAUAGCAAUGAGAUGAAGAUAGCUCAACUCAAUGCUAAAAUAAUGCAUACACUCUUUUGUGCAUUUGGGCCAAGUGAGUAUAAUAGAGUUUUUUUAUGUGAAAAUGCAAAAAAAAUUUGAGAUAAGCUAGCUGUUACUCAUGAAGGUACCAAUCAAGUAAAAAAAAAAUUGGCAUGCUCACUCACGAUUAUAAGCUAUUCAAGAUGAAACUAAAUGAAACUAUUAGUAAGAUGCCAAACCAUUUCACCAACAUCAUUAAUGGUUUAAAGGCUCUUGGCAAGACAUACUCAAAUGUGGAAAUGAUGAAAAAAAUUCUCAACAGUCUACCUAAGAGCUGAGAAGCCAAAGUGAUAGCCAUUGAAGAGUUCAAAGAUCCUCACACACUCUCUUUGGAUGAACUGAUGGGCUUUCUCUUCACCUAUGAAAUGAAGAUCAAAAGGAGAUAAGAGCCAAUCAAAAAAGGUGACAUUGCUCUAAAAUCUACCUUUUAAAAAGAAGAAGACAAUUUUGAACAAGAGAAAAAUGAUGAAGAUGAAGAGAUAGCCAUGUUUGCAAAGAGAUUCAAAUUGUUCAUAAGGAUGAAUAAGUUUUUCAAUAGAAAAAAACCACAAAAGGAGAUGACUAAAGGAAAAUCAAGUAGAAGAGAAAAGGACCAAAUUAUUUGCUAUGAAUGCAACAAACCAAGUCACAUUAAACUUGAUUAUCCUUUAUGAAAAAAGUAAAAUAUAAUAAAGCCAAAGAAGAAAGCUAUGGUAGCAACAUGGAGUGAUAGUGGCUUCUUCGAUGAUGAAUCAAAUGAAAGAGAAGUAGCGAAUCUAUGUCUCAUGGCUUUUGAUAAGUCCAAGGUAACCUCUAGUUUAUGUGAUUUAAAUUCAUACACUUUUCAUCAACUACAAGAUGCCUAUGAUGAGUUAGCUAUAGAAUUUGAGAAUAUAAGCAUGAAAUAUAAGAAAAUGGUCUCCAAAUUGAAACUAGAAAAUGAAUUAUUAACUAAAGCAAAAGAAGACUUAGAAAAAAAAGUUGAGUUGUUGAAAUUGAAUGUCAAUGACUUGACUAAAAAAAAUAAAAAUUUGCACAAUUCAUUUUUUAGAUUUUAUAUGGGACAUCAAAAGCUCAAUGACAUGCUUGAAACACAAAGAGCUUUCUUUGACAAAGAUGGACUAGGUUAUAAUGGUGGCAACAAAAAAACUUAUUUAAAAAAUUUCCUUGUUAAGCUAAAUGAUUCAUCCAGCAUAUGUGCACAUUGUCAUAAAUUGGGUCAUUCAAUACAAUAUUGUCCUUUGAAAAAAAUCACUUAUAGAGUUAAGCUCAUUAGGAAAGUAUGGAAUCUAAAAGGAGUUAGCACAUCUUAAGAUGAGAUUACUAAAAUGAAGUGGAUUCCAAAAGGCACAAAAAUUGUUAGUACUAACACUCAAGGACCUAAAAAAAUUUGGGUACCCAAAAUAAAAUUUUAAUUAUUUUUUUAUAAGUGGGUGAGCAUUACUACAAAGCCAAUUCAAGCAAGAACAAUCUAUAGUACCUUGAUAAUGGAUGCUCAAAACACAUGACCGAGGAUAAAACUCUUUUUAAGGACUUGAAAGCCAAAAAUAGAGGAGAUGUUACAUUUGGUGACAACUCUAAAGGCCAAAUUGAAAGGAUUGGCUCAAUUGCUAACAAUUUCUCUACUACUAUUGAAAAUAUUUUACUUGUGAAAGGACUCAAGCAUAAUUUGCUUAGCAUUAGUCAAUUGUGUGAUAAAAGAUUUAAGGUUGUAUUUGAAUUCAUAUGCUGUUAAGUAAUUGAUAUCAAAAACAACAAACUUGUUUUUGUUAGACGUCAUCAAGAAAAUAUUUAUGUAAUGCAUCUAAAUAACCUAUCUUCUAAAAAUAUUUAUUUUAUGGCUCAAAAAAAAAUGAGAGUUGGAUUUGGCAUAGAAGGCUUGGACAUGUAAGUAUGCAUGUAUUUUAAAACUUUUUCAAAAUGAUUUGGUUGUUGGUUUGCCAAAGUUAAAAUAUGAAAAUGACAAGGUUUGUGACGCAUGUGCUCAAGAAAAACAUAAAAAAACUUUUUUUAAACCUAAGAAUUGCAUUUCGACUACUAGACCUCUUCAAUUAUACAUAUUGAUCUUUUUGGUCCUACUAGAACAAUGAGUCUUGGUGAAAAAUAAUAUGGGUUUGUUAUUGUUGAUGAUUUUACUAGAUUCACAUGGGUUCUCUUUUUGCAUUCAAAGAAUGAGGCUUUGGAAAAAUUCAUCAUUUUUAGCAAAUAAAUACAAAAUGAAAAAGGCACUUCUGGAUGAUGAUGAUGUAGGUAUACUUCAAGAAAGGAUCAAUGAUGCGCAUCAUGACAUUGAGGAGAAUAAUAAAAAAAAGAUGAUGAGUUUUUUGAGGAGUCACAACAUAGAGAGAGAGAGCCAAAUCAUCCUAAAAAAAAGAUGUAUGUCAAAGAUAAUGAAAUCAUUGGUGAUCCAACUCAAGGGGUAAGACCUAGAUCCUCUUAUAAUGUAUGCAAUUAUAUUGUUUUCCUAUCUCAUUUUGAACCUAAAAAUAUAGAUGAAGCUUUAGGAGAUGAUCAUUGGAUAUAGGCCAUGCAAGAGAAAUUGAACCAAUUUGAAAGAAGCUAAGUAUGGAAUCUUGUACUAAAGUCUAGUGAUCAUUCUACCAUAGGCACAAAAUGGAUUUUUAGGAAUAAAAUGGAUGAACAUGAGAAUGUUAUCAGAAACAAAGCUAGAUUGGUAGCUCAAGGGUAUAGUCAAGAAGAGGGAAUUGAUUAUGAUAAAACCUAUGCCCCGACUGCAAGGUUAAGGCCAUAAGAAUGUUGCUUGCAUUUGCAUGUUUUAAAAAUUUUAAGCUUUUUUAAAUGGAUGUCGAGAGUGCAUUUCUUAAUGAUUUUAUAAAUGAAGAAGUGUAUGUAGAGCAACCUCUCGAUUUUAAAAAUCCAAAAUUUAUAAAUCAUGUGUAUAAAUUGACAAAAGCAUUAUUUGGAUUAAAACAAGCUCCUAGAGCUUGGUAUGAAAUAUUGUCAAAUUUUUUGGUAGAAAAUGAUUUUAAUAAAGGGAAGGUUGAUACUACACUUUUUAUUAAAACAAAAAGAAAGGACAUUCUCAUACUGCAAAUUUAUGUUGUUGAUAUUAUAUUUGGUGCUACUAAUGAAACUCUUUGUCAAGAAUAUGCUAAGAUUAUGCAAGGUGAAUUUGAAAUGAGCAUGAUAAGAGAACUCAAUUCUUCUUGAGACUACAAGUAAAGCAAACAAAAGAUGGCACCUUCAUCAAUAAAGCUAAAUACAUUAAGGAUUUGCUCAUAAAAUUUAGAUUGGAAGAAUCAAAGCCUUGCUUAACACUAAUGAGCACUUCAACAAAACUUGACAAGGAUAAAGAAGGUAAAUAUGUUGACUCUAAACUAUAUAAGUCUAUGAUUGGUUCAUUGCUAUAUCUAACUGUAAGUAGACCUGAUAUUAUGUUUAGUGUAUGUUUAUGUGCUAGAUUUCAAUCUUCACCUAUAGAAUCACAUUUAUCCGCUGUUAAAAGAAUUUUGAAGUACCUUAAGGAUACUCUUAAUUUAGGAUUAUGGUAUUCAAAAGGUUCAUCUUUUGCUUUACAUAUCUAUUCAGAUGUUGAUUUUGAAGGGUACAAAAUUGAUAGAAAAAGCACUUCUGGUACUUUUCAAUUGUUUGAAAAUAUGCUCAUAUUAUGGCUUUUCAAAAAAUAAAAUAGUAUUACUCAAUUUACAACCAAAGCUGAAUAUGUGGCAGUCGAAAGUUGUUGUGCCCAAGUUUUAUGUAUUAAGUAAUAAUUUAGAGGAUUUUUGAAUAACCAUGUAUCAUAUUUCCAUUAAAUGUGACAAUACUAGUGCCAUCAAUCUCACCAAAAAUCUAAUUCAACACUCUAGAACCAAACAUAUUGAAAUUAGGCAUCAUUUUAUUAGAGAUCAUGUUCAAAAAGGUGAUAUUGUACUUGAAUAUAUGGAUACCUUGCAUCAAUUAGUUGAUAUAUUCACAAAACCUCUUGAUAAGGAUAGAUUUUAUGCAAUUAGAGGUGAACUUAGCAUGAUGAAUGUUCCUUGAAGUGGAUUUCUUGAUGUUAUAAUGAAUAAUGCACUCUUGAUUAAAGUGGCCUUGAAUUGAUUUUCUCUCUUUUGGUUUCAUUUUACUUUAUUUCAUCAUUUUUGCUAUGACAAAAAAGGGGAGAAAUAUUGGUAUGAAAAUUUGAUGAUAUAUUGAUAUUGAUGGUUAUGGUGAUAUUGCUCUUGCCUAGUUGCCUUAAAUCUUAUGCCUAAAUUCAAGAGGAGUUUACCUUUCAUAAGUUUAGGGGGAGCUUUUUUUUCAAAAGGAAAAAUGUUUUUAAGCAAAUUUUUCACUUGGUUUUGUCAUAUCAAAAAGGGAAAGAUUGUUGGCCUUGAAUUGAUUAAGAGUUUUGAUUUGACAAAAUAAAAAUUUGCCAAAUUUGUUUCAAUCUUGUCUAAGCUUAAAUUGAACAUUUGUUCACCCUUUUAUCUUGUUAAAAUUCAUUUGAGAAUCAAAACAACUCAAAUUCUCAAAACAAAACAUGAUUUAUGCAAGUUUUGAUAGAUGGGAUCGAUCCCCUAGCAAAAGGGAUCGAUCCUGUUUUCAACCAGAAUCGAAAGUUCUCAAGAUUUGACAAAAACCAAUCGAUCCCCUCUCUAUAGAGAUCGAUUGGUUUGGGUUUCAACCUGAACGGAUUGAUUCCCUUAUUCAACGGAUCGAUCACUUUUUCAUACAGAAGGUUUGUAUCGUGUAAGUUUUCAAAAAAUGGAUUGAUCCCAUCACAUAGAGGAUCGAUCAACUAAGGCAAGGAAUCGAUCCCCUCUUAAAAGGGAUCGAUCAGUUGCUUAGAUAAAAUGUUUCCCAAGUUUGAAAACUCAGAAAAAGGAUCAAUCCCCUCAUAAAGGGAUCAAUCGGGUAAGGCAAAUCAGGCACAAAAUCGAGCCUUCUCUACUAUGAACCAAUCGAUCCCCUAUGACAAGGGAUCAAUCCCCUGAAGGCUAACAACUCCCAACGACUAUUUUUUUGCUAAAAUUUUUGCAAGUUUGAAGUAUUAAAUGCAUUCUAACGGCUCUUAACUUUUUUCUAACUAUAAAUCAAGCAUUCCACUGUAGACCAAGAAAAAUAAGAGUCAAGAAACUUAAUGCUAUUUACCUACCAAUCUGCUCAAGCAUUUAAAGCUGUUAAAAGAGAAAAAGUACAGAAUUCAUAUCAGUUUUUCUUUACUUUCUUAUCUAUACCUUUGUGUACUUCAACUUAGCAAACACCAAACCUUUUGUGAGGUUCUUAAAAUUUUUCAAACACUUCUAAAUUUUUGUAUUGUGAGUGUGUAAGCUUAAGGAGGAGGAUAACCCUUAAGAGUGUAUGUUGUUGAGUUUGUAAAGCUUUGUGAAAACUUGGUUGUAAUCUUCAUCUAAUAGUGGAUUGAACUCUUUAGCAAGAGAGGCUAAGGGAGAGGACGUAGGUGUCUAAGAGAGGACCGAACCUCUAUAAAUCUUGGUGUUAAAUUCCCUAACCCUAUCUCUUGUUUAUAUUCAUAUAUUGUGCUUAUUUAUAUUGAUAAUUUGUGGUUAUUGAAUAUUAUACUUGAGAAUUUUAUUAAAACCAAUUCACCCCCCUCUUGGUUUAUUCCAAGUCUUUGAGCUAACAAGAUAAAAAUUAAGGAGAAAGCAAAGAGACAAAUCAUGUCAUGACUUAUCAAUUGUUAGAAAAAAAAAAGAUAAAAAUAUAUGAAAAAACUUAGAGAAAUCGAUAAUCACAUAAAAAUAGGAUUUAUGAAAAAUGAAUAUUGAUUAUUGCCUAAACAAAUAUGGCCAUUGCUAUUAAUAUGUGGAUGUAGAGGUGUUAGAUGAAGAAAUAUUACCUGCCAUCAAUAACCUAAAAAAGAAACAAAAAAAAUGCAAUAUUAUAAAAAGAAAAGAGAGAGAAACUUGAAAAAAUAUGUUUUUGAAUAAAAAUUAAACCUAGGGGGCUUCCAUAGGGUAAUGUUCAGGGAAAUCCACCUGAAGCUAAGCAUAUAAAGUUCCCAAAGCUCCAUUUACUUCAAUUACCCACCUAGUUUUUUUCAAUAAAAUAAAAAAGGUACCAUUUAAAAAAAAAAGAAAGCAAAAGUGGGAAGGCGAAGAUUUAAAGAAAAGGAAAAAUUUUACGAAUCAAUGAACAACCUUUGGAGAGUAUCGGUCACUUUGUGUUUAAAACUAGAAUGAGGAUAGGGUUGGCAGUUUAACUCGGAACUGGCGUAUUUCGACCAGAUCCGACUCCAUAGGGUCGGGUUUUUUUUUUUAAAUUGGGUUUUGGGUCGAGUCAGGUAUGGUAUAAUUAAGAAAAAAUCGAGAUUGGGUCAGGUUCGAGUUUUAGGCAAACUCGACCCGAUCUGACUCGAUAUUAUAUAAAAAAUAUUUUUUAAUUUUUUAUUUAUAUAUAUUUAUAUUUUUAUAUUUUAAAAAAUAAUAUUUUAUUAAUUUUGGGUCAAGUCGAGUCGGGUCAGGUACGGUUUAUACAAUAUCAAAUUCAGGUCGGAUUCAGGUAUAAAAAAAAAAAUUUUCAAGUCAAAUACGAGUUCAAAUUUUAUGGUUAUAAAAUUGGAUCAGAUUCGAAGCGAACAAAAAUUUAUCUCGAUCCGAUCCGUUGUCAACCCUAAAUGAGAGUUGACUUGCCACUUUACUAGCUCUUUCUAUACCUGAUUGCACGCUAUCUUACUUGAUGCUUAAAAAACCAAAUCAAAUUCCCUCAAAAUUAGUCAGACCAACAAAAAAAAAAGAAAAACAGAAAGAAUGAAGAAAGAGGGAACCUUAGGAGUCAAGGUGGAGGAAAAAAAAAGAAAGAAAAAAAUUAAAAUUCUCUCAUAUAUAUAAUCAUUUGGUAUGCGUAUCUCUAUCUCUUCAACCUAAAAGAUUUGUUAUAUAAAAGAAAAAGGAUUCAUGUGUAAGAGAAAAGUCAUUAAAAAUUGACUUAAAAAAAAAAAAAAAAAGGGCUCAACGAAGUUAAAGAGGUGGAAAAGAGAAAUGAUUGAUUAAAUAUUGAAUAUAAAAAGGUGAAUGAAGUUGAACCAAAAUUUUUCGCUUUCUCUCUUUUUUCAUUCGUUAUGUACACAAAUGAUUUUUACUUUAUGCUUUUUCAUUUAUCAUGUGCAUGUUACCUUUGGCAUUUUGUAUGAUCAAUUGAAUUUUGAAUCUGAAACUUUGAUAAUCAACUUUGUUAUGCACUUGGUAUUUUAUAGUAGCUAUAUGUUGCUAUCAAAGUGAAUUGAAUGAUUUUGGCAUGUGUCAGUUCUAUCUGCUUUUCAUCUGUGCAAUCUCAACAUGAAAAAGGGAAAACUGGAAAAGCACACCAACCCAUCCAUAUUUUGUGUUACUUGAACUUGAGUUAUACAAGGUUGGUUCUUCUCCAGUGCCUAUGAACUGAUGAGUUGAUGAAUGAUGGCAUUCCAUGCACGCACGUGCAGUGUGAU